AUUGCAUAAUGCAGUAGCCACUGGAUUUGCAGCAGAAACACUCUGCUACAGAACAAGUGUCUUGGUUCACAGCAAAGAGGACAAAGAAAACAGCAAGUUUUAGGGGGUUGAAUCCUGGAUUCCCCUGGCAAACACCAUUCUACUUUCCGUCUCUAUGAAUUUGACUACUCGAAGUACCUCAUGUGAAAUGUUGGUGCCAAAUGAACUUUUCUGGUUCUUCUGAAUAUGCCACUGUUGCUGGAGAAAUGUCACUGCUAGAGAACAGAAGACUAUUAUUCCAAAGGGUAUUUGAGACUGACUGAAUCAGGUCUGGAACAUUAUUGAAAUGAGACCCACAAAAGAAGAGAUACUGAGGUGGUGACCAGAUGGAUAUAAACGGGCUGUGGAAAAAGAGAAUGCAUGGCCAAAAAUGGUGGUGCUCUCUGUCCAAAAACUGAGGCCCUAUGACCAUGAAUGAAGCCAGAGGGCAGGUAGGAAUAGAUCAUUUGCUCCAGAAGAAGCUGGUUGCCAUGUCUUGAGGACAGUAAACCCUCUGGGGAGGUUCCUGUGGUAAGGAACAAGGGCUCCUGGCAAUAGCCUCUGAGUGAGCCACCUUGAAAAUGGAUUGUCCAGCCCCAGUCAAGCUUUCAGAUGACUGUAGCUCCUGCCAAUGUCUUCACCACAACCUCAUGAGAUCCCAAGCUACAACCACUCAGUUAAGUUAUGCCAAAAUUCCUGAUUCACAGAAAUUGACAUACAGGAGAGGUCACAGUUAAGAUCUUGAUGUUCUAUCUUGACCCAUAAUAUAGGAACUUCAUCUUUUGGGAAGCACCAGGGAGAGCUGCCUGUGCCUGGCAGAAGCUGCCCAUGCCCCACUGAUACCCCACAGUACUUCCUGUUCUGCUUAGUACUCCUGCUUCUUUCUACAAACAACUGUGAUUCUCUACCUGGGAGCUUCCUCUGGCCACAGGAGCCUGCUCACCUGAUUGGGACACCCUAGCAGUACUGGCUCAUAGAUGGAAGGGACUUGCCUUGUCGCUGAUGAGACUUUCGACUUGGACUUUUGAGUCAAUGCUGGAAUGAGUUAAGACUUUGGGGAACUGUUGGAAGGGUGUGAUUGUGUUUUGAAUUGUGAGGACAUGAGAUUUUGAAGAGGCUAAUGGCAGCGUCCCCACCUAAAUCUCUUCUUGAAUUGUAGUUCCCAUAAUCCCCACGUGUCGUGGGGUGGAGCCGGUGGAGAUAAUUGAAUCAUGGGAACACUUUCCCCCAUGCUGUUAUUGUGAUUGUGAAUUCUCACGAGAUCUGAUGGUUGUAUAAACGCCUUCCCUCUUCGCUGGGCACUCAUUUUUCUCCUUCCUGCCACCAUGUGAAGAAGGAUAUGCUUGCUUCUUGUGCCAUGAUUACAAGAACACACUCAGAAAUUUUCUCAACACAGUUUCUAUGCAGAGAAGAGAUGUGGGACAGAUUUGAACUGCUGUCAUAUUUGUAUGAACCCAAGACAUUUUCCAAGACCAAGAGGGAUAAAGACAGCAAUUUCUAUGACUGGCAUUUUACGUGCAUGCACUGUUUCCAAGUGUUCUUGUGUUCUGUGCCUUAAACAUUCUGUGUUGCAACUUUAUGAAUUGAAUUAAAGAUAAUCCCAAGCCCCCAAUUGUCUCAAAAAGUGAAAAAGUAAAUGUUAUAGAAAGAAAAGCGGGAAAAACUUUAAGCAUGAAAUAAAAGAUGGGUUGUGAUAAAAGAGGACUGAAGAAGGAAAAGGAAUGAAAGGUUCUGCCAUCCUUCAUGGCAGCCCACUCCACUUGGUAUGAGAUACUGCUCCCUUGGCUGAAAGUUAACUGCUGUACUCCCUCCACUUUCUAUAAAUGACUCCCUGUGCCUUUCCUUCACCACACAACUCACACUCUCUUCCUUCCUAGUGAGUCCACUAAGGCUUCACUGCAUUAUUACAUUUAUUUCAUUUAGGAAAAACUGACUUUAUUUUCCUUCAAAUUGUUUUUUAUUGUUUAUAUGAGCUUGGUUUUAUUGUCAUUCUAUUUUUCUCCAUGAAAAUAGAGAAAAAUAGGGUCGAAAGGUUAGGUUGGGUGGAAAGGAAUUAUAUUUUUUCUCACUAAAAUUGAUGUAAAUAUCGUUUUCAAUUGAAUGAUUUUACACAGUGGCACAGUUUCAGGUAUGUUGCUAAGCAGGAAAGUUGUUAACCAAAGCAUGAAUGUAUUAAGGAGAUGUAUGCAGAAUGACAUGCAAGGUUAUCUAUGAUUGCUGAGUGAGAAAGAGCAAGUUGCUGAGUAUUAUAUAAGUAUGAUCUCACUUUUGUAAAAAAAAAAAAAAAAAAAGGCCUGGACUGAUCUGAAAUGACCCUAUUAAUAACAAUUAUGUCCAGGUCUGUAUUGCAUACUUGUCAUUCAUUACAGGAUCUUGAGACACAAUGCAAAGGAUCACAUCGCAGCUCUGUAACUUGUUAACUAUAAGAUUUUGAGUAACAUAACACCUUACUCCUUAAAAUUGCUUAAAAAAAAUCUGAACAUCAGGAAUAUUCUACUUCACAGGGUCGUUGUGAUAAUUAAAUGUAGUAAUCAAUGACAAUAGUGCCAGAUACAGUAGAUAGCCUACACUUUGCAGCUACUAUUUCUAUCUAUCAUCCAUCUAUUAAUAUAUAUCAUCUAUCUUUAACUUAUCAUCUAUCUUGUUCCAGUUUUUUAAAAUGAACAUGUAUUAACUUUGUAAAAAAUUAAGGCUAUAAGAUGUGCUGAGCUUUUGGAAUAGAUUUUCCUGUAC
Molecule: long non-coding RNA, 2751 nt
Organism: Homo sapiens (human)
Lineage: Eukaryota; Metazoa; Chordata; Mammalia; Primates; Hominidae
Gene: STXBP5-AS1
Product: STXBP5 antisense RNA 1
Source: Ensembl